UACGUAGGAUGCAAGCGUUGUCCGGAGUUAUUGGGCGUAAAGCGCACGUAGGCGGUGCGGUAAGUGUGGUGUGAAAUCUGCGGGCUUAACCCGCAGCGGUCGCUGCAGACUGCCGUGCUUGAGGGCUGGAGAGGAAGAUGGAAUUCCCGGUGUAGUGGUGAAAUGCGUAGAUAUCGGGAGGAACACCAGUGGCGAAGGCGGUCUUCUGGCCAGUUUCUGACGCUGAGGUGCGAAAGC
Molecule: ribosomal RNA, 237 nt
Filed under: uncultured bacterium
Lineage: Bacteria
Description: partial 16S ribosomal RNA
Rfam family: Bacterial small subunit ribosomal RNA
Source: RNAcentral